Molecule: long non-coding RNA, 269 nt
Filed under: Elaeis guineensis (African oil palm)
Lineage: Eukaryota; Viridiplantae; Streptophyta; Magnoliopsida; Arecales; Arecaceae
Description: long non-coding RNA (EGUI_LNC031715)
Source: RNAcentral
AAAGAGACUGUAUACCAAGCUCUGAUACCACUUGUUAUCCAGAUAAAUAAUUCAAGAAGGGGGAUGAAUUAAGUUUUUUAAAAAUUUGAAAUCUAUUGUACACAAUAAUUAAACUAGGUGAGGCAAUAUGAGUGUGAGUUAUGCUAUAAAUAAAAGUAUGAAGAUGUAAAUAAUAAGCAAUGAAAAGAAAUAAUGAGGUAUGCAUCCUUGCCAAGAGGAUGCUCUAAUAUGAUGAUUAGACAUGUUUAUCAGGAGGUGAAUAUGGCAGC